Long non-coding RNA from Sinocyclocheilus rhinocerous, 363 nucleotides. RefSeq lists it as uncharacterized. NCBI's taxonomy places the organism in Eukaryota, Metazoa, Chordata, Actinopteri, Cypriniformes, Cyprinidae. The record is from RefSeq and is a predicted model, not a curated record. The transcript is spliced from 3 exons.
CGUGAAGCCACCACUCCCUGCUGACACGACGGGCCGAUCCGCACUCACUUUCAUUCUGCUGCAGACAGGAUUCAGUCAGCACUUAUAGUAAAGCUUGGUUGGAUGUUUGUAAUCCAUGACAGAAGGAUUACGAAGCCUGUAUCAAAAUGACUUCUGAUAUUCGGUUUGAUGAAGCCAGAAUCUCACUCCUCCAUCUAUAACAUCAUGAUCAUCGUGAUCUCCAGAUGGAGACUCACAUCCUCCUCAUCAGUGACAGUCAAGCUUUACUAUAAAUGCUUCUUGAUUCUGCAAACACAACAACAACACAAAGUCAUUGUCUGAUUGUGAACAAACAUGAUAAAUAAAACCAAAUAAACGUCUACU